UACGGGGGGGGCAAGCGUUGUUCGGAAUUACUGGGCGUAAAGGGCUCGUAGGUGGCCAAUUAAGUCAGGCGUGAAAUCCCCAGGCUCAACUUGGGAACUGCGUCUGAUACUGGAUGGCUUGGAUUUGGGAGAGGGAUGCGGAAUUCCAGGUGUAGCGGUGAAAUGCGUAGAUAUCUGGAGGAACACCGGUGGCGAAGGCGGCAUCCUGGACCAAUAUUGACGCUGAGGAGCGAAAGCUAGGGGAGCAAACGGG
This 253-nucleotide ribosomal RNA is filed under the name uncultured bacterium. RNAcentral's name for it is "partial 16S ribosomal RNA". It matches the Rfam family "Bacterial small subunit ribosomal RNA", at positions 524 to 776 of the family's 1533-position model. The record is from RNAcentral.